GAUGAACGCUGACAGAAUGCUUAACACAUGCAAGUCUUUGGCGAAGCUGUGCUCGCACAGCCUAGCCAAGGCGGACGGGUGAGUAACGCGUAAGGAACUUGCCCUGCAGUCAGGGAUAACAGACGGAAACGACUGAUAAGACCUGGUAAAGUCAGGCGGACCCAUGUCCAGCCUGAUGAAAAGAGAUGCUGCAGGAGAGCCUUGCGUCCUAUUAGCUUGUUGGUGGGGUAACGGCCCACCAAGGCGAUGAUAGGUAGCCGGCCUGAGAGGGUGGACGGCCACAAGGGGACUGAGAUACGGCCCUUACUCCUACGGGAGGCAGCAGUGGGGAAUAUUGGACAAUGGGGGCAACCCUGAUCCAGCAAUUCUGUGUGCACGAUGAAGGUUUUCGGAUUGUAAAGUGCUUUCAGCAGGGAAGAAAAAAAUGACGGUACCUGCAGAAGAAGCGACGGCUAAAUACGUG
This 463-nucleotide ribosomal RNA is filed under the name uncultured bacterium. RNAcentral describes it as "partial 16S ribosomal RNA". It matches the Rfam family "Bacterial small subunit ribosomal RNA", at positions 28 to 507 of the family's 1533-position model. The record is from RNAcentral.